GGUUGUAGCUCAGUGGUAGAGUGCUCACCUAGAACAAGAGAGGCCCUGGUUUCGAUCCUCAGCACCA
RNAcentral lists this transfer RNA (67 nucleotides) under Marmota monax (woodchuck). Its description in RNAcentral is "tRNA.Ser". Lineage: Eukaryota; Metazoa; Chordata; Mammalia; Rodentia; Sciuridae. The record is from RNAcentral.